UUAUCUCUCUUUUUCCCCUUUGAUGGGGUGAAGAAGAUUGGUUAGGGUUUUGCUGCUUCCAGUUUUUUCAAUCAAAUUUAUGCAUAGUUCAAUUUUAUACUUCUUGUUGUUAUGAUACUAUGUCCAAUUCCUCACUUCAAUUUUCUUUCAUUCAUCAUUGGUAUAAAUCUUAAAUUUAUUUGUUCUUCUGUUGUGACUAUGCCAAGAACAUAUGGUCCAAAAUUCUGCAGUGGCAGGGGAUACAUUGACAAGCACUAUCAUGGCAAGAGGAGUUGAGUUGAGGACAUGAAAUAGCUACCACUAACUUUGAUAUUUGUUUAACGGAAUUAGGAUGGAGUAUUCCACUAUCGGGAAGUGUGAGACAAUGCCAUCAACAAGAUUACUGAAUGUAAAGAUCAAAGCACUACUUUGCUUUGAACAAGAAAGAAUGAUAUGGAUUUGUCACCUACAACUACUCUUUCUUUUUUACAACGAUCUUUUGGAUUUCAAAAUGUUGCAGAGCUUGAUAAAUUUCUUGACUCCUGCAUCUGGUGUGCAAAAGAUAUUGGGAUCCGUAUACAUAGAUAUGGUCCUUAGACCAACUUGUAUGGUUUAUCCACCAUUGACAUCUCAAAGCCAGGCAAAUUGGAAAUUGGAGGGACAGAGCACCAAGCAAUGUUCAACUUCGUCAAAUGAAUGUUUGACUACCUUUAUUAUGACAGAAGACACGGUUAAUAUAUCAAAUGUCACUGGAUUUUUCUCCCCUGCUGAAACACAUCCCCUUGAUGCAAUAUGUUCGAGGCAUUUGCUGAGCAGGAUCGCCUACUCAAAGGCACCAAUAUUUGGAACCUGUCAGUCUCUUACAAUAAGCUGUGUUUUGAGGCUGUAAAUAGUAGAGCAAAGGAACUACCAUUCAGCAGAUAAACAUAAUUACAUCAACUACCAAGCUUUACUUUUCAAGAUGACUUUGAUCUCUUUAUUAUCAGGUCGCCGUGAAAUUCAGUUAAGUUGAUGAGAAGCUCUCUCACUUGCUGUAGUUACCAUAUUUUUUCUUGUGAGAAGAUGCUUAAAUGAUUGCUUCCUCAUCACUCUAGAACUAAAUUUGUGCAUUUCUAAUCAUUAUAGUCGGAAGGGAUCGAACUUCCUUAUAUCGUGCAGGCUCGAGACAAUGUCAUGCUACAAUAUCUAUGUGACAAGGAAAAAGAAGACGAGGAAUUGAAUAAACCUCUCUCAAGAUCAAACAGAAAAGAGAAUCAGUUGUGGGUUUUAGAGAAGCAUAGAGGAUUCCAGGAGUCGGGUCAUUUGCUUUUUGCAUUUUUUGGUUGCUUACACAUUUCUCUAUCGUGCCUCCGGUACUAUAUUCGCCAUACAAAUAUGCUAACUGUUCUACAUUUGUCAUAUUGGAUAUGUCGUCUUGUUGUUUUCUUACUCUAUUAUGUAAAAGUGUAUCUUGAUCCUUUUGUGACGAUACUUGUCCUGAGGAAUCUAGUAACUUAUCAACAUUGUUUGAUGUCAAAGGGGUAGUAGGUGGAAUCCUCAUAGGUCAUGUAUCCCAGCUCCAUGCCUAUUUCAAAGCUACGGACACAUCUCCGUGAUAUAAACAUUAUUCUCAUAAUAGCCUAACAUGUGUAUUAGAGGAGAACUUAACCUUUUGAAUACUUUCAGGAAAUGAAUUUGAAAUAAAAUAAAGACCACCUUGUCAGUACACAUUUCACUUCCAUCUAUAAUUUCCAUCAUCCGAUUCUCCUUCUAGCUUCUCCAUUUAUUGAUUCGAUUUCUCAAUAUGAAUAGUUUUUUCUGUGAUUACGUUGUAAUGUGGAUGUAUAAUUCAAUUAAUCAUCAUUAAGCUUUAUUGAGGCUUAACAACUUAUUCUUGUGUAUUUGUUUAAUUACUUGUAACUCCUGACAUUCUUCUCUUGAACAUGUCAUUCGAGGAGCUUUGAGAUUUUCCAUUUUUGCUACACUAGAAGUUUGUUCCUAUACAAUAUAACUGGUUUUCCAUUCUAUUUUUUCUCUAAAAAGAUUACAGUGGCGUUUUACCCUUUUUGCUUAGGAAUAUUGCUUCAAAUGUCUUGCAGAAUUUUACAGGAGAUUCUUCAAAUGAUUAGAAAAUAUUUAUUGGACAUCAUAUUUGGCAAAUAUUUAUGGAACAUGAAGCCCGUGAUAUUGCUACUUAAGGUUUAAGUUGGUAUCAGCUGUCGAGCAAAAUUUGUUCAAAAUAUUAUAGUCUUCAUGUAUGAUGACAAGCAUUGCUUAAUGAAGAGAAUCCAAGAUCAGAGUUCUCAUUAUAAUCCUGCUGGUGAGGAUGUUUACAAAGGAGUCUCUAAGGUUGUAUAUUAUUAGAGACAUCGGAGGGUGGUGGAGAAAGAACACAUAAUAGUGUUAUGCCUAUAUGACUUAUGAAGACAUUCUCGGGCAUAAACUUUUAAACAAACUUUUUGCAGUUGUGUAUAUGUUCAUGUUGCCACUACUUUAAAGUGUAAAAUGUUGGGAGCACGGCAACACUCAUCUAGUAUAUACUAGAUUUCACAGUUUCAGAACUAACAAGGUUAUUACCA
Molecule: non-coding RNA, 2537 nt
Organism: Solanum lycopersicum (tomato)
Lineage: Eukaryota; Viridiplantae; Streptophyta; Magnoliopsida; Solanales; Solanaceae
Source: RefSeq, a predicted model, not a curated record